GACGAACGCUGGCGGCGUGCUUAACACAUGCAAGUCGAACGGAAAGGCCCCUUUGGGGGUACUCGAGUGGCGAACGGGUGAGUAACACGUGAGUAACCUGCCCUUGACUUCGGGAUAACUUCAGGAAACUGGGGCUAAUACCGGAUAGGAAUCCUUGCUGCAUGGUGGGGGUUGGAAAGCUUCGGCGGUUUUGGAUGGACUCGCGGCUUAUCAGCUUGUUGGUGGGGUAGUGGCUUACCAAGGCUUUGACGGGUAGCCGGCCUGAGAGGGCGACCGGCCACAUUGGGACUGAGAUACGGCCCAGACUCCUACGGGAGGCAGCAGUGGGGAAUAUUACACAAUGGGCGGAAGCCUGAUGCAGCAACGCCGCGUGCGGGAUGACGGCCUUCGGGUUGUAAACCGCUUUCAGCAGGGGCGAAGCUUGUGGUGACGGUACCUGCAGAAGAAGCACCGGCUAACUACGUG
This 465-nucleotide ribosomal RNA is filed under the name uncultured bacterium. Its description in RNAcentral is "partial 16S ribosomal RNA". It matches the Rfam family "Bacterial small subunit ribosomal RNA", at positions 28 to 507 of the family's 1533-position model. The record is from RNAcentral.